UACGGAGGGUGCGAGCGUUGUCCGGAAUCACUGGGCGUAAAGGGCGCGUAGGCGGCUUCUCAAGCGUGUGGUGAAAGUCCGGGGGCUCAACCCCGGAUCGGCCGUGCGGACUGGGGAGCUCGAGUUCUGUAGAGGCGGGUGGAAUUCCGAGUGUAGAGGUGAAAUUCGUAGAUAUUCGGAAGAACACCAGUGGCGAAGGCGACUCACUGGACAGGUAUUGACGCUGAGGUGCGAAAGCGUGGGGAGCAAACAGG
This 254-nucleotide ribosomal RNA is filed under the name uncultured bacterium. RNAcentral's name for it is "partial 16S ribosomal RNA". It matches the Rfam family "Bacterial small subunit ribosomal RNA", at positions 524 to 776 of the family's 1533-position model. The record is from RNAcentral.